GUCCACGCCGUAAACGAUGAGCACUAGUUAUUGGAGGUAUUGACUCCUCCAGUGACGCAGCUAACGCAUUAAGUGCUCCGCCUGGGAAGUACGGUCGCAAGACUAAAACUCAAACAAAUUGACGGGGGCCCGCACAAGCGGUGGAUUAUGUGGUUUAAUUCGAAGCAACGCGCAGAACCUUACCUAGGCUUGAACUCCUACGAAUCCGGGGUAAUGCCUGGAGUGUCCGCAAGGAAAUGUAGUGAGAGGUGCUGCAUGGCUGUCGU
RNAcentral lists this ribosomal RNA (266 nucleotides) under uncultured bacterium. RNAcentral describes it as "partial 16S ribosomal RNA". It matches the Rfam family "Bacterial small subunit ribosomal RNA", at positions 793 to 1055 of the family's 1533-position model. The record is from RNAcentral.